RNAcentral lists this non-coding RNA (28 nucleotides) under Mus musculus (house mouse). The record is from RNAcentral. Lineage: Eukaryota; Metazoa; Chordata; Mammalia; Rodentia; Muridae.
UGCAUUUCUGAUUGCCAAGAUUCUGCCU